UUAUUAUACGCUUAAGGUGGUAUGGGAGUCUAAAAUAAAAAUGAUAGAAAUUGUUCAUACUUUGCCAAAACGUAGUAUCUAUUGAUAUAUGUUGAAAAAUAUAAUCAAAAUGAUAGGUCACCGCGCAUUUUCUCAAGCUACAGGACGUGACAAAAUGACACAUUUUGUAUGGAUUAUACAGGAAAAAAACACCAUUAUGUGAUUAGAAACUAAACAAAAUGAUAGAAUAGUUAAAUACCUAAAGAAAAGAUAGCUUUCAGACAGUGCUUUGAGAAUAUCAAAAGAAAAGAUAGGGUCACCGUACGUUUUUUCCGGCGAAAAUACAAAAUAGGAAAAUUCCAUGUAGAAUCCUUCAGAAAAUGCACUGUUUUAGAGUUACCUCCCCUUAAAAUGCCAAUUUAAAAAAAAUAAAAAAACGACCAAAAAUAAUCAACAUUUGCAAAAAAAUUAAUAUUUAUAACUUAUAUUCUAAUAAAUUUGUUCUUUUAAAUGAAAAUUCACAUUAAAUAUCUGCAUUCCUGCAUCAAAUUUUGCUAACUUGAUAGAAAAUCUUGACCUUUGG
RNAcentral lists this long non-coding RNA (562 nucleotides) under Mytilus galloprovincialis (Mediterranean mussel). Lineage: Eukaryota; Metazoa; Mollusca; Bivalvia; Mytilida; Mytilidae. The record is from RNAcentral.